Molecule: non-coding RNA, 882 nt
Organism: Styela clava
Lineage: Eukaryota; Metazoa; Chordata; Ascidiacea; Stolidobranchia; Styelidae
Source: RefSeq, a predicted model, not a curated record
GAAAAAAUUGUCCAACAAGGGGAUUCCUGUGAAACAUCACAUAUAAUUUUAGAAUGAGAUAAAAAAAAGUCUGGGAAAUACAAUAAGACACAGACACAGUAAUUUUGAGAAAGAAAAAAAACGGUUUAGCAUAUCAAUUUGCUGAACUUCUGUAUAAUGGCAACUAUUAAAUAUUGUCACUUGGAACAUCAAAUCGAGCUAUAUUUUUUAAUUUGCAGAAGAAUAAAUAAAUAUAAAAUUACAUAACUUUUAGGUACGAAUGCGAAAGCAGAAUUUAUACUCCAUGUACAUCCAACAUAUGAGAUUUGAAAGUGAGAAGAGAAAAUGAUGCAGUUUAAAUCUGACUGUGAAAUAGGAAAAACAGUCUCGGUGAACUUAUUGCCACCAACUAACAAAUGUCAGCCUGGCCAUCAAAAAUACAGAGAACAGAAACAUAUUCAAGCCUUAUAAAAUAGAAAAUUUAGAAUGAGGUGAUUGAGAUGGUGAUUAUACAAUCAAAAAAAGCUGUGGUGAAGUUCAAACAAAGUGUACCCUUGCUAAGCAUUCUUGGUUGGGAAAGUUGAAUUGUGUUCUCGUGUUGUUGCAAUAUAUUUUGAACCUAAUUAUGUUGGGAAUUCUAAAUUAAGCAAAAUAUUAUUGUGUUCAAAUUUGAAUGAAGAAAUUGUUUCUUUUUUAUUAAUGCUGUUGCAACUAAAGCCAGUGUAAUAAGACCAGAUCCCAAUUUAUUGUAAAUUUGAGACAUAACUUUCUUCAAAAAAUUAGGUCUACCUUAAAUUCCAAAUGCCAUUCACUUAUUAAUUUCUUGCAUAUCACCAUUAUUGCAAUUUAUACAAAUCAACUUAUGUAAAAUUUCAUUUUUAAUAAAAAUAAAAAAUAUCAUAA